This 482-nucleotide ribosomal RNA is filed under the name uncultured bacterium. RNAcentral describes it as "bacterial SSU rRNA". It matches the Rfam family "Bacterial small subunit ribosomal RNA", at positions 30 to 505 of the family's 1533-position model. The record is from RNAcentral.
UUGAACGCUGGCGGCAUGCUUUACACAUGCAAGUCGAACGGCAGCACGGGGGGUAACCCCUGGUGGCGAGUGGCGAACGGGUGAGUAAUAUAUCGGAACGUGCCCUGUAGCGGGGGAUAACCUAUCGAAAGAUGGACUAAUACCGCAUACGCUCUACGGAGGAAAGCGGGGGCCGCAAGGCCUCGCACUAUAGGAGCGGCCGAUAUCGGAUUAGCUAGUUGGCGGGGUAAAAGCCCACCAAGGCGACGAUCCGUAGCUGGUCUGAGAGGAUGAUCAGCCACACUGGAACUGAGACACGGUCCAGACUCCUACGGGAGGCAGCAGUGGGGAAUUUUGGACGAUGGGCGCAAGCCUGAUCCAGCCAUGCCGCGUGAGUGAAGAAGGCCUUCGGGUUGUAAAGCUCUUUCGGCGGGAACGAAAUGGUUCGUGCUAAUACCACGGAUUGAUGACGGUACCUGAAGAAGAAGCACCGGCUAACUACG